This is a long non-coding RNA of Physeter macrocephalus (sperm whale), 486 nucleotides long. RefSeq lists it as uncharacterized. Lineage: Eukaryota; Metazoa; Chordata; Mammalia; Artiodactyla; Physeteridae. The record is from RefSeq and is a predicted model, not a curated record. The transcript has 3 exons.
GCUUCGUGGGCUUUUACGUAGGGGCCAGUGGUUCGGGUCCUUGUGCUGGCACCGGGGGCGCCGGGUUGGCGACUUUGGCACUCUUGGCGUUGGGUGAGCGGCAUCUUGCGGGUCACAUGAGCCAGUGGCAUCGUGCCCGUGGGUGCUGGGGUCAGGGUCGCGGCUUUUCCGGACGUUCAUCGGCCAAGAGGAAGGGCGGAAAGCACAUCCCGGAAAGGUGGAAAGACUAUCUCCCAGUUGGACAGCGGAUGCCUGGGACUCGUUUCAUUGCUUUCAGAGUUCCUUUAAAAAAGAGUUUUGAAAAGAAUCUUGCUCCAGAAGAAUGUUUUCCCCCCUUGGAUCUUUUUUAACAAACUCCAAGAACAGAAUGAAGAACUUGGGCUGAUCGUUGACUUAACAUAUACUCGCCACUAUUAUAAGCCAGAGGUAAAUGGAACCCGUAAUUGAAAAUGACCUUCUUUCUGAUGCUGUAAUACUUCAUAGUAA